Molecule: ribosomal RNA, 497 nt
Filed under: uncultured bacterium
Lineage: Bacteria
Description: partial 16S ribosomal RNA
Rfam family: Bacterial small subunit ribosomal RNA
Source: RNAcentral
GAUGAACGCUGGCGGCGUGCCUAAUACAUGCAAGUCGAGCGAACGGACGAGAAGCUUGCUUCUCUGAUGUUAGCGGCGGACGGGUGAGUAACACGUGGAUAACCUACCUAUAAGACUGGGAUAACUUCGGGAAACCGUAGCUAAUACCGGAUAAUAUUUUGAACCGCAUGGUUCAAAAGUGAAAGACGGUCUUGCUGUCACUUAUAGAUGGAUCCGCGCUGCAUUAGCUAGUUGGUAAGGUAACGGCUUACCAAGGCAACGAUGCAUAGCCGGCCUGAGAGGGUGAUCGGCCACACUGGAACUGAGACACGGUCCAGACUCCUGCGGGAGGCAGCAGUAAGGAAUCUUCCGCAAUGGGCGAAGGCCUGACGGAGCAACGCCGCGUGAGUGAUGAAGGUCUUCGGAUCGUAAAACUCUGUUAUUAGGGAAGAACAUAUGUGUAAGUAACUGUGCACAUCUUGACGGUACCUAAUCAGAAAGCCACGGCUAACUACGUG